ANACGCNGGCGGCAUGCCUAAGACAUGCAAGUCGAACGGAGNUUUCACUCCUGCGGCGGACUUCGGUCCAAAGCUUUGUGAAACUUAGUGGCGAACGGGUGAGUAACAGGUAGACAACUUGCCUCAACGACUGGGAUAACACUGGGAAACUGGUGCUAAUACCGGAUAGGAUAUAGAUUCGCAUGAAUUUAUAUUUAAAGAUGGGUUAAACCAUCACGAUGAGAGAGGUCUGCUUCGUAUUAGCUAGUUGGUAGGGUAAUGGCCUACCAAGGCAAUGAUGCGUAGCCGAGCUGAGAGGCUGAUCGGCCACACUGGAACUGAGACACGGUCCAGACUCCUACGGGAGGCAGCAGUUAGGGAUAUUCGGCAAUGGACGAAAGUCUGACCGAGCAAUGCCGCGUGAAUGAAGAAGUAUUUCGAUAUGUAAAGUUCUGUUGUAAGGGAAGAAUGGUUGUGAUAGGAAAUGAUCACAAUUUGACGGUACCUUACCAGAAAGCCCCGGCUAACUACGUGCCAGCAGCCGCGGUAAUACGUAGGGGGCGAGCGUUAUCCGGAAUUAUUGGGCGUAAAGGGUGCGUAGGCGGCCUUAUAAGUCUGAGUUGAAAGCCCACGGCUUAACCGUGGAGGGUGCUCGGAAACUGUAAGGCUUGAAUCCAGAAGAGGCAAGUAGAAUUCUAUGUGGAGCGGUGGAAUGCGUAGAUAUAUGGAGGAAUACCAGUGGCGAAGGCGGCUUGCUGGUCUGGGGAUUGACGCUGAGGCACGAAAGCGUGGGGAGCAAACAG
RNAcentral lists this ribosomal RNA (782 nucleotides) under uncultured bacterium. RNAcentral's name for it is "bacterial SSU rRNA". It matches the Rfam family "Bacterial small subunit ribosomal RNA", at positions 31 to 775 of the family's 1533-position model. The record is from RNAcentral.